RNAcentral lists this non-coding RNA (90 nucleotides) under human gut metagenome. Its description in RNAcentral is "SAM riboswitch (S box leader)". It matches the Rfam family "SAM riboswitch aptamer (S box leader)". From Rfam's summary of the family: The SAM riboswitch is found upstream of a number of genes which code for proteins involved in methionine or cysteine biosynthesis in Gram-positive bacteria. The SAM riboswitch acts at the level of transcription termination control. The predicted structure consists of a complex stem-loop region followed by a single stem loop terminator region. The record is from RNAcentral.
CUUAUCAAGAGUGGUGGAGGGAACGGCCCUGUGAAGCCCGGCAACCUGCGUAUGUAAGGUGCCAAAUCCGGCGGUGAAACGAAAGAUGAG